AUAAAAAUAAUAAUAGACUGUCAGGGACUGACUUUAAAAUAGGACAACCACUGAUGCACUUCCAGUGGACGCUAUGGGAUAUCAGCCACUAUUCUACCAUAACCAUUUAAUUUGUACAGCAUUAGCCUCUCCAACAAGCCUGAAACAGUGUAAACAAGGACAAGGGCUAACUGAUGCCUUGGACCGUGCAAUGGAGGAUAUUACAGCACAAGAGAUCUCUACACCUUCUUCUCUUGAUAAGUCCAGCAAGGACUCACUCAGUCACUCACAAACAAAACUCCAAUUUGAGGAACCACUUGUCAGGCGAGAGAAGUCAAGACAUAAAAGGGAGAGCUUUGCACUGUCAAGCAAAUCCGAAGCUCCAUUGCCUAAAGAUCUACUUGAAGUUUUAGGUUAGUAUUAAAACACCAACUAAUUAAAGAUUAGUGUUAAAACACAAUUUGUGAUGUUCACACGCUUGUGGGUAUUUUUCAUUUUUCCACAUUUCAAUGUCAAACAAAAUGAAUGUUUAAGGUCAGCCCUUGUACUAGUUUAAAGACACAAAGCUAUCACAUAAAGGAGAUGGCAAACACCAACCACUCAAAGCUUGCAUUGUGUCCCCUGCAAAGGGACUUCAGAUAUCCAGAUUCUGGAGGACCUAGUGGCUAAACUGGAGUUUGAAAAUGAGCUGCACCGUGUGUGUGGGAAUCAGGACAUAGACAAGGAGUUUCUAUCACCAGAGGAACACAGUUCAGACAGCUUAGUAGAGGACAGAAGCAGCAGCAAUGGAGAUGUGUCCAGUUCAGAGGAGGACCACUGCAUGUUAGAUAUUGUGUUGCAGAUGGAAAGGGAGUAUGAUCUUUCUGUUUAUUACAAUGACUUCUGUACUCAAUGACAAGGCCCUCAUUCGGCCAGUUAUCUGUACACAGAGCACCGUGACAUAGGUUUCUGUUGAUAACAACUCCUCAGGAAAGAUUUUCAAGACAAACCUGUCUGAAAUUAGGAUUAAAUAUGGGCUCACUUUACAGUACAUAGACCAAUCAGAGAAGUGAAUUAUUCAGCAGCAAACUUGCAGUUUUUUAUGUAUCCCUCUAUUUUAUUUUGUAAAGAGACAUCUAGGCUGUCAUAUUUCAUUGGUUCAAGUUACUGUAGUUUCUGUUUUUUAUACACCAUAAAGUCAGUUUAUAGUAUUUAUAACCAAUAUUAAAACUAUUUGAUUGUAACAAUCUAUAGAACAUUGCUCUGUUGUAAAAACUUUGAUUUUAUGUUAAUAUCAACCAUCAACCUGUUAUCACUCCUCAAGUGACUGUUAUUACUCCUCAAAUGUAGAAUUACAUAAAGUUAAAGGAAAUGAAAACCAAUAAAAACAUUUUUAUUACA
Long non-coding RNA from Oncorhynchus masou masou (cherry salmon), 1359 nucleotides. RefSeq lists it as uncharacterized. Lineage: Eukaryota; Metazoa; Chordata; Actinopteri; Salmoniformes; Salmonidae. The transcript has 2 exons. The record is from RefSeq and is a predicted model, not a curated record.